This is an RNA transcript of Prosopis cineraria, 2398 nucleotides long. It is a transcript of the gene named pentatricopeptide repeat-containing protein At5g04780, mitochondrial, with no coding region annotated. The record is from RefSeq and is a predicted model, not a curated record. NCBI's taxonomy places the organism in Eukaryota, Viridiplantae, Streptophyta, Magnoliopsida, Fabales, Fabaceae. The transcript has 3 exons.
CGUCGCUUUUGCACCAUCCCAAAAUUGCAGUCUCCGGUUCGGACUAUUCUGGUGUUCGCUGAAAGUGAAACACUCUGCAUAUGGCAAACUAAUCAAACUCUAUCUUCUUUUGACGGUGGAGUUUGGCUGAGUCACUAAUCAAGACUUGUGUAAUUGGAGAAGACUAGCUUGCUUCAGCUUAAAUGCAUCAUCUCCAACUCCUCCAAGCUACAAAAAUAUGCAUGUGGAAUUGGAUGUCAAUGCUAAUGAACCAAGUUGUUUCUAAAUCAGUUAGGAAACUGAUACCAUAUUGGUUUGCUUUACCAUCAAUGCAAUGACAUGAAAUCCUUUGGAAGGUUUAAGAGAUUCUGUGACAGUUUUGGAUUCAGAUUACAUUCCAGACAAUUAUCAGUUAUCCCUGAGGCCAAGCCCGAGAUCUUAAAGGUGAAAGAAGAAGUUCAUGUGGAUGCAGAUGUUGCUCGUAUUUCAACUUUGCAUUAUCUUAUACAGUUAUGUGCUAAAACACAGUCAUUGAUGGAAGGGAGCUCAUGCCAUGCUCAGACUAUCCGUAUUGGCUUUGAAAUUGACAUAUUAACAUCAAAUAUGCUCAUUAAUAUGUACUCUAAAUGUGGUUUAGUGGACAAUGCUUUCAGAAAGUUCAAUGAAAUGCCAGAGAAAAGCUUAGUUUCAUGGAAUACAAUGAUUGGAUCUCUUACCCAAAAUGGGGAGGAGCAGGAAGCUCUCACACUUUUCAUUAAAAUGCAAAGAAAUGGAACCUCACGUAAUGAGUUUAGCAUUUCUAGUGUACUGUGUGCUUGUUCCACAACAUGUGCUAUAGUUGAGUGCAUGCAGUUGCAUGCUUUUGCCAUUAAAGCUUCUAUAGAUUCAAAUGUUUUUGUUGGAACUGCUUUAAUUGAUGUUUAUGCUAAGUGCUCUUCAAUAAAAGAUGCGAAUCAGGUAUUUCAGAGCAUGCCAAAAAGAAGUCCUGUAACAUGGAGUUCUAUGGUGGCAGGAUAUGUACUAAAUGGGCUCUAUGAGGAGGCCUUGCUACUGUUUCAUAGUUCUCAAUUAAUGGGUUUGGAGCCAGAUCAGUUUAUGGUUUCAUCUGCUAUUAGUGCUUGUGCAGGUCUGUCAACUUUGAUCGAAGGUAAGCAGGUGCAUGCUAUGUCAUGUAAAUCAGGAUUUGAUUCAAACUUGUAUGUUGUUGGCUCCCUUAUAGAUAUGUAUGCCAAAUGUGGCUGCAUAAAAGAAGCAUACCUUGUGUUUCAGUGUGUGGAGAAGAGAAGCAUUGUAUUAUGGAAUGCAAUGAUAUCAGGGUUUGCCAGACAUGCUUGUGCACUAGAGGCCAUGAUCUUGUUUGAGAAAUUGCAGCAGAUAGGCUUCUGCCCUGAUGAUGUAACAUACUUAUCCGUAUUAAAUUCCUGUAGUCAUAUGGGUUUGCAUGAAGAAGGACAGAAGUAUCUUAACCUUAUGGUAAGACAGCACAAUCGUUCACCCAAUGUCAUUCACUAUUCAUGCAUGGUUGACAUUCUCAGUCGGGCUGGACUAGUUCAUGAGGCUUAUGAGUUGAUGGAGAGAAUGCCAUUUAAUGCAACUACUUCUAUGUGGGGAUCACUUUUGGCCUCUUGUAGGAAAUGUGGCAAUAUUGAGCUUGCUGAGGUUGCAGCCAAGCACCUAUUUGAAAUGGAACCUAACAAUGCUGGGAACCACAUCUUGCUAUCAAACAUAUAUGCAGCAAAUAAACAGUGGGAGGAAGUUGCGAGAGCAAGGAAGCUUCUCAGAGAGAGUGAUUUGAAGAAAGAGAGAGGUAAGAGUUGGAUUGAAAUUAAGAAUGAGGUUCAUUCUUUUACAGCUGGUGAUAGAAACCAUCCAAAAAUAGAUAGGAUUUAUGAAUAUUUGGAUAAUUUGAUAGAGGAGUUAAAGGAGGUUGGUUACAAAGUUGAAACUAAUUAUGACCUUCAUGAUCUGGAGGAAGGCACAAAGCAGGUGCUUUUGAGGCACCACAGUGAGAAGCUUGCUCUUACCCUUGGAUUGAUGUGUUUACCUUGUGAUGUACCCAUAAGGAUUAUGAAAAACCUUAGAAUAUGUGGUGAUUGCCAUACUUUUAUGAAACUAGCAUCAAAGUUUGCAAACCGGGAAAUCAUUAUCCGGGAUAUAAAUCGUUUUCACCACUUGAAGGAUGGCAUCUGUUCUUGUGGUGAUUUUUGGUGAACAUCUGAUGUAUUUUCCUUUCUAUAUCUCCUCUGACCUGGCUAUUCCCUUCAACCUUAUUCAAGCCAUCACUAUUGAAAGGUCUUGCCACACCAGCUGCUGUUAUGGGUGGUACUUGAAUAGGUGCAUCUCAAGGCGUACUGAUCAAAGGGGGCAAGUAUUAGAAAGUACACUUAAGCAAGUAUUUGACACCAAUGGGGCUAGUGGC